ACCGAAUAGAUACCCUGGUAGUCCACGCCGUAAACUAUGAACGCUAGCCGUUGGCGAGCUUGCUCGUCAGUGGCGCAGCUAACGCAUUAAGCGUUCCGCCUGGGGAGUACGGCCGCAAGGUUGAAACUCAAAGAAAUUGACGGGGGCCCGCACAAGCGGUGGAGCAUGUGGUUUAAUUCGACGCAACGCGCAGAACCUUACCAGGGUUUGACAUCCCGAGACCGCUGCUGAAAGGCAGUUUCCCGCAAGGGCUCGGAGACAGGUGCUGCAUGGCUGUCGUCAGCUCGUGUCGUGAGAUGUUGGGUUAAGUCCCGCAACGAGCGCAACCCUCGCCUUUAGUUGCCAUCAUUAAGUUGGGCACUCUAGAGGGACCGCCGGCGACAAGCCGGAGGAAGGUGGGGAUGACGUCAAGUCCUCAUGGCCCUUACACCCUGGGCUACACACGUGCUACAAUGGCGGUGACAGUGAGCAGCUAACUCGCGAGAGUAUGCUAAUCCCC
RNAcentral lists this ribosomal RNA (499 nucleotides) under uncultured bacterium. RNAcentral's name for it is "bacterial SSU rRNA". It matches the Rfam family "Bacterial small subunit ribosomal RNA", at positions 772 to 1276 of the family's 1533-position model. The record is from RNAcentral.